RNAcentral lists this ribosomal RNA (253 nucleotides) under uncultured bacterium. RNAcentral's name for it is "partial 16S ribosomal RNA". It matches the Rfam family "Bacterial small subunit ribosomal RNA", at positions 524 to 776 of the family's 1533-position model. The record is from RNAcentral.
UACUGAGGGAGCUAGCGUUGUUCGGAAUUACUGGGCGUAAAGCGCACGUAGGCGGCUUUGUAAGUCAGAGGUGAAAGCCUGGAGCUCAACUCCAGAACUGCCUUUGAGACUGCGUCGCUCGAAUCCGGGAGAGGCGGGUGGAAUUCCGAGUGUAGAGGUGAAAUUCGUAGAUAUUCGGAAGAACACCAGUGGCGAAGGCGGCCCGCUGGACCGGCAUUGACGCUGAUGGACGAAAGCGUGGGUAGCGAACAGG